This 650-nucleotide long non-coding RNA is filed under the name Homo sapiens (human). RNAcentral's name for it is "non-protein coding lnc-HSPB11-1:1". The record is from RNAcentral. Lineage: Eukaryota; Metazoa; Chordata; Mammalia; Primates; Hominidae.
AAUCCAUCAGUCACUGGCUGUGGGCCACACUCAGGCUCCCAUCCCAAAUUAUGGAAGUACUGGGCAUCUUUGAAGACCAGCUCAAAUGCCACCAGCUCCAAAAAGCAUUGUUGGAUUCACCCAGCUCAGAGGAUUGCUGUCUCCUCUGUGCCCUCUGAGCACUUAGUCUUCACUCUAACAUAUACUCCACCUUGAGUUAUGGUCAUUGGAGUGUAUGUCUGGUCCCCUGUGAGAUUAAGCUGCUGGAGGACAACAGCUCUUCCUCGUCCAUCUUUGCAUAACUCUGCACCCAGAAAAGAAUCAAUGCUCAAUGUUUGAUGCAUUAAGUUGAAGAGAAUCUAAUUGGAAAGCCGGGGGUCUAUUUUUGUCAUUCUGAAAAGCUCCUCAGUUCCAGCUACUAUUAUUUAGUGAAAAUGGGGAGAUUUCUGUGCAUUUGUAGACACGAAUUGGAAGACCAUCAGAGAAGUGAUUCAGAAGAGGCUUGCCUUACAUCCUGUCUCCUUUUGUGCAACUUAGUACUUAGGAGGAACAGUGAGUGCUCAUCUGUGCUUCAGUCCCAUCAUUGUCACAGCUUCUCAUUUUCAGUAUAGCCUCACAAACUCAUGCCUAUGUUGGUCAUGAGUGGCUUUGGUAGGAUGGGGAAUUUUUAU